Molecule: long non-coding RNA, 800 nt
Organism: Harpia harpyja (harpy eagle)
Lineage: Eukaryota; Metazoa; Chordata; Aves; Accipitriformes; Accipitridae
Exons: 3
Source: RefSeq, a predicted model, not a curated record
UGCCUCUCUUGACUCUUAGUAACUUGCCCUCCUCCUGCCCCAAUCAGUGUCUGGUACUGUCAACCCGGCAGAGCAAAGGGGGUGGUGGUGGGGUGUCCCCAAAUGAAGGAAUUUUUCUCAUUUCAAACCAGUGAAGCACUAUGGUAAAUGUCACACUAAAUGCUCUGGUGAUCACCCAAGAGGUGAAGCUGUUCUUUCAACUGCUGUUAUUCAGCUUAGUGGGAAAAGAUUGUGCGUGUAAACUUACACAUGGAAAAAUGUUCAUUAUCAUUUUGGUGGUUUCUUUUUAUUUGAGCAGUUCCUGUGUGUUUAAGACAAGUUUUCCAAAAGCAAGGAAUGAAGGCUAUUGCUGCUCAUGCAAAAUUUUGGGAGGAGAGUAAAUAUAUGAGCAAGUUCCUAGCCCCAGAAGGGAACUGUUCAGAACUUUGGCUCCUUGGAUACUCUCUCUGGCUGUUGUAUUCUGGUGUAUUGGGGAUUUUGAAACUUCCUGACAUUGGAAAACUUUGUUCAGUAACAGCUGUUUUGACACUGUGGAACUAUGCAGAUUUUCAAAAUGCACAGCUGACACCAAGUGACCAUGCCUUGUCAAAUUGCCAUAACCACACAGCAGAGAACCGCCUGACUAAAAGAGCACAGCCAUAUAAUACCAAUAAUACAUACCUGUGGAAAAAUGGGUUUCAUGGCUAAGGAUUUGCAGUAUUCCUGCUUAUUACACCAUGGAGGCUCCCGGAUCAAAAGAAGGGAUCAAAUACAAUGCAAGGAGUCUUGUGUCACACUACAUGAAGUGACUUACUUGUAUG